UCAGGAAUCUUCCGCAAUGGACGAAAGUCUGACGGAGCAACGCCGCGUGCAGGAUGACGGCCUUCGGGUUGUAAACUGCUUUUAUUUGGGAAGAUUAUGACGGUACCAAAUGAAUAAGGACCGGCUAACUACGUGCCAGCAGCCGCGGUAAUACGUAGGGUCCAAGCGUUAUCCGGAAUUACUGGGCGUAAAGCGUGCGUAGGCGGAUGUUUAAGUGUAAUGCGAAAUCCUGUGGCUCAACCAUACGGACUGUAUUGCAUACUGGAUAUCUAGAGGAUAUGAGAGGCAAGUGGAAUUACCGGUGUAGCAGUGAAAUGCGUAGAGAUCGGUAGGAACACCAAUGGCGAAGGCAGCUUGCUGGCAUAUUUCUGACGCUAAGGCACGAAAGCGUGGGGAGCGAACAGGAUUAGAUACCCGGGUAGUCC
RNAcentral lists this ribosomal RNA (425 nucleotides) under uncultured bacterium. RNAcentral's name for it is "bacterial SSU rRNA". It matches the Rfam family "Bacterial small subunit ribosomal RNA", at positions 355 to 796 of the family's 1533-position model. The record is from RNAcentral.